UACGUAGGGUGCGAGCGUUGUCCGGAAUUAUUGGGCGUAAAGGGCUCGUAGGCGGUUUAUCGCGUCGGGAGUGAAAUCCACUGGCUUAACUGGUGGCUUGCUUUCGAUACGGGCAGACUGGAGGUAUGCAGGGGAGAACGGAAUUCCUGGUGUAGCGGUGAAAUGCGCAGAUAUCAGGAGGAACACCGGUGGCGAAGGCGGUUCUCUGGGCAUGUCCUGACGCUGAGGUGCGAAAGCGUGGGGAGCAAACAGG
Molecule: ribosomal RNA, 253 nt
Filed under: uncultured bacterium
Lineage: Bacteria
Description: partial 16S ribosomal RNA
Rfam family: Bacterial small subunit ribosomal RNA
Source: RNAcentral